GAGUUUGAUCGUGGCUCAGAUUGAACGCUGGCGGCAUGCCUUACACAUGCAAGUCGAACGGCAGCACGGGAGCUUGCUCCUGGUGGCGAGUGGCGAACGGGUGAGUAAUGCAUCGGAACGUAUCCUGGAGUGGGGGAUAACGUAGCGAAAGUUACGCUAAUACCGCAUAUUCUGUGAGCAGGAAAGCGGGGGGACCUUCGGGCCUCGCGCUCUUGGAGCGGCCGAUGUCGGAUUAGCUAGUUGGUGAGGUAAAGGCUCACCAAGGCGACGAUCCGUAGCAGGUCUGAGAGGAUGAUCUGCCACACUGGAACUGAGACACGGUCCAGACUCCUACGGGAGGCAGCAGUGGGAAUUUUGGACAAUGGGGGCAACCCUGAUCCAGCCAUGCCGCGUGAGUGAAGAAGGCCUUC
This 410-nucleotide ribosomal RNA is filed under the name bacterium enrichment culture clone ALO1_GLFRUDD03GESMH. RNAcentral describes it as "bacterial SSU rRNA". It matches the Rfam family "Bacterial small subunit ribosomal RNA", at positions 9 to 419 of the family's 1533-position model. The record is from RNAcentral.